AAAAUUAUACCAAAAAAAGAUCAAAGGAAAAAUUCACAAGAUAGCGAUAACUAUUUAUAUCAUAACAAUAUUUCGUCAGUCUUAUUAAAGAAUAUAGAGAUUAAAGUGCUAAAUGUAAUGCUGACAUGAAUUGGUACAUAUAUGUUUCGGAAUAUAAUGGUAGUUUAAACAUGGUUUUAUGGGUAAAUAUCUCAGUUAGAUGACAGUUUGUAGUUCCGUUAUAUUGACAAAUUAAGGGAGCAUAUGCUUAAAUCUUUUGCCUUUAUCUUCACACUGGUAUAUUAAUAUACAAUUAAGAAUAGAAAUGGGGAAUGUGUCAAAGGGACAACAACCCGACCAAAGAGCAGAAAACAGCCAAAAGCCAUAGAUGGUCUGGCUGUCGUUAUCACAUGCGGACAUACCAUGCAAAUAUAUUAGAGACUACAUGCAUGAUACUAAAAAGCACAGUCUUCUCAAAAGAACUCCCGUCACCAUGAUAGAUACCAAUGUAUUGUAUAAAUAAAUAUGAAUAGGUGUGUCCUAACACCCAAAGUUCAUCUCAUUACACAAUUUUCCAUUUCUUGUAAACACAAACAAUAGUCGCAUGUUUUACGGAAUAUAAAUUCAUGACUUGUAUACACUGUAGCUGAUUAUUGUUCAUACUUUAAUCAAAUUCAAACUGCCCUGGUCAUUGCAUAUAUCUCAUCAUGUGAGGUUCAACCUCGGUUCCAUACACGGCGAUUGUUACCAUUUAAAUUGCUGUGUUGUCUGUUUAUGUUUCCCUGGACAUUUGAGGUAAUAAGAUACAGUCGUGUUCUAUUCCCAGGGAACUGAAAGAUGAUAUGUUUUUUAAACAACAGCCGUGCUUAUUGUCCUAUGUUGGUCAAAGGAAAUAUAACAUGUACUUUAUAUAUAUCGUGUGUCUAAAUUACUUUUUUGGAUUUAUCAAUUCAUUAAAAACACAAGAACUAUCAAUAAACUCAUCAUAGAUAUCUUAUUUGGCUUGUUUUGACUUUUAUAUUCGAGUUUCGCUUAUCAGUGAUUGUCUUUUAUAGAAUUCAAGAAACGCGCAUCUGGGUUAGAC
This 1063-nucleotide long non-coding RNA is filed under the name Mytilus galloprovincialis (Mediterranean mussel). The record is from RNAcentral. Lineage: Eukaryota; Metazoa; Mollusca; Bivalvia; Mytilida; Mytilidae.